This 463-nucleotide unclassified non-coding RNA is filed under the name Dibothriocephalus latus. Lineage: Eukaryota; Metazoa; Platyhelminthes; Cestoda; Diphyllobothriidea; Diphyllobothriidae. The record is from RNAcentral.
UAUAAACUAUCACGGUGCGCUAAAAGCCGUGGCUUGGAGGGUUGCCAACUGGCGGGAAAACUCGGGCUUCCUACGUAGCUGCUUCUCUAUUACGUCUGUCAGUGUGUACGUAUGUGAGGAGAUGGAAGACUGAGAGCCAGGCUGCAAUGGCUCCUUCUUAAUGUGGCCUUUAUGGCAUUUAAGCGAGAUGCCUCCUAUGUGUGCCUUCUGGUAGCGGCGGCGGCUUCUCCUCAUCUCCUGCCUGUGGUGUUAGUGCGUUUGUGUAUGCCUGCGUCUUCUCAGUGUUUUUGUGUGUGGGGGCGCCGGUGCGCACUGGCCGUGGCUCAGUAUGUGUGUAGCACGCCGUGCGAGCUCUAACAUAUAUGAGGUAGUGAUGAUGAGGUGUGAAGACUGCUAUGUUAGUGUGCCGAUACUGUUGGUGGUUGGUGGCUAUGCUUGCUUUACUUUCUAUAUUGCCUGACCU